RNAcentral lists this small RNA (123 nucleotides) under Marmota monax (woodchuck). Lineage: Eukaryota; Metazoa; Chordata; Mammalia; Rodentia; Sciuridae. The record is from RNAcentral.
GCAGGGUGCGGUGGCACAUGCCUGUAAUCCCAGGGACUGGGGAGGCUGAGGCAGGAGGAUUGCAAGUUGAAAGCUUCAGCAACUUAUUGAGGCCCUAAGUAAGUCAGCAAUACCCUGUCUCUA